This 119-nucleotide ribosomal RNA is filed under the name Pteropus alecto (black flying fox). Lineage: Eukaryota; Metazoa; Chordata; Mammalia; Chiroptera; Pteropodidae. The record is from RNAcentral.
GUCUACCGCCAUGCCACCCUGAAUGUGCCCAAUCUCGCCUGAUCUCAGAAGCUAAGCAGGAUCAGUCCCAGUUAGUACUUGGAUGGGAGACCACCUAGGAAUACCAGGUGCUACAGGCA